This is a non-coding RNA of Schistosoma rodhaini, 45 nucleotides long. The record is from Rfam. NCBI's taxonomy places the organism in Eukaryota, Metazoa, Platyhelminthes, Trematoda, Strigeidida, Schistosomatidae.
AUCCGGCUGAAGAGUUCGAAAUAGGACGAAACGCGCGUUCUGUAU